AUUGAACGCUGGCGGAAUGCUUCACACAUGCAAGUCGAACGGCAGCACGGACUUCGGUCUGGUGGCGAGUGGCGAACGGGUGAGUAAUGUAUCGGAACGUGCCCAGUCGUGGGGGAUAACGUAGUGAAAAUUACGCUAAUACCGCAUACGAUCUAUGGAUGAAAGCGGGGGAUCGCAAGACCGCGCGCGAGUGGAGCGGGCGAUAUCAGAUUAGGUAGUUGGUGGGGUAAAGGCCCACCAAGCCAACGAUCUGUAGCUGGUCUGAGAGGACGACCAGCCACACUGGAACUGAGACACGGUCCAGACUCCUACGGGAGGCAGCAGUGGGGAAUUUUGGACAAUGGGCGAAAGCCUGAUCCAGCCAUUCCGCGUGCAGGAUGAAGGCCCUCGGGUUGUAAACUGCUUUUGUACAGAACGAAAAGGUUUCUACUAAUACUAGGAGCUCAUGACGGUACUGUAAGAAUAAGCACCGGCUAACUACGUGCCAGCCGCCGCAGUAA
RNAcentral lists this ribosomal RNA (500 nucleotides) under uncultured bacterium. Its description in RNAcentral is "partial 16S ribosomal RNA". It matches the Rfam family "Bacterial small subunit ribosomal RNA", at positions 30 to 523 of the family's 1533-position model. The record is from RNAcentral.